This is a long non-coding RNA of Pezoporus flaviventris, 3504 nucleotides long. RefSeq lists it as uncharacterized. Lineage: Eukaryota; Metazoa; Chordata; Aves; Psittaciformes; Psittacidae. The record is from RefSeq and is a predicted model, not a curated record. The transcript has 2 exons.
CUCAUGUUUGCUGUCCAGCAGAGGGUGCUGUGGUACAGUUUAUGGAAUUUGGGAUUGAUUUUAUUUUGUAUUUCAGUUGGAAAUAUGAAGGCAAGUUAUUUGUCCACGUAUAUUUGAUACCUGCUGAGACUUAGAUUUUAAGGAAAUCUCUAAUCUUUAACAGUCCCAUGCUGACUUGCAGUGAAGGAUUAUUUCUAAAAGAAAUACUGAUAAGAGCUUCAACAUUUUACUUCUGUUCUGCUAAAAUCCUGAUUAGAGUUGGGGAAUUUCAUCAAUUUAAAAAUAAAUGACAUAAACGUCCUGAAUAUUGGUGAAAUAAGCAUCUACCUAAUUUCUUCUUCUGGUUUUAGCUUUAAUGGAAAAACUCCUUCAAAGCUGAUAAGUUGUUGUUAAAGCUUACUAAAAAACCCAAAGCAGAUAUUGAACAUUGUAAUAACUUUUUUGUCUGAAAGUUGUGUUAAGUGGCAAGUUUUUUUAAAGUUAAGUAGUGUAAAGUUUUGGUGCUCUGUAAUGCACAAUCAAGUAUAUACAUUUCAAAUUAUUGAUUCUAAGCCUUGAGGAUACUGAUUUUUAAAGCAGCAGUUUUAUUCAUAAAGCAGAAAAGCAAGCAUUUAAAUAUAUAUUAAAAGUAUAGUUUUAAACAUGUUUGAUAUUAUCUUUAUAACUAAAAUUAAUUUGAAUAUGUAGACAUGUAUUUUAAAUAUUAAAAAUAAAAAUACAUUCUGAAAAUAACAUCAAAGGCAUUUGAUAAUGCUUUCAGGGUAGCUGUAUAGUGAGCACGGCUGUAAAGUAUAAAACUUCGUGUGAUGGAAAUUCAUCUGUAUUAGAGCUCUUACUGGAAAAUACUGCACUUACCAGUGAGCAAUUUUUCUGCUUCUGCUGAAUUGUCCAUGAUUAUUUUAUAAAUACCACUGCAGUGAGGGAAAGCUUGUAUUUCUUAAGAUUUGUCAUUGAACUAAGACCUGCCAGUAACAUAAUGUAAAAAUGUUUAAUGAAAUGAAGUUAAAACUGAAUGUCAAUAAAGAUGUACCUGUGUCUAGGGGGGCAACAGAGGCACACCUCGAAGUGGUAAUGAAUUUGGGUUCACCUGCAAGUAGAGAAACAGGUUUACUGUUUCUGAGCCUGAUGACCUUGAUGCUGCCAUGUCUUGAUGCUGCUAAGUUAUCUUUUCCUUACAUAAUAAUUGCUUCUUCAGUGUAGUGCUUAAUGCUUAGUUACGGUAAAUGAAACUUGUGCUCUUGUUGACUGGGUCAGAGCCCUUGUUCAGUCAAAAUAUUAUCACAGUUUUCUACAGCAAGUUGAAAUGUUAGGUAAUUUUUGUCUGUGGCCACAUAAAAGUUGAAGUAGGUUUUUGCUGGUAUGCCAAUAAUUUUGCUGGCUUGGAGUCAACUAUAUUUUGAGACUGCCACUUUCACAAAAAUGGGCCAAAUACUUGGCCGAGUUGCAGAAAAUUUAUACUGUGCAACCAUAUUUGAGUUUCCUGCUGUAAUUAUUUUCACAAUGCUUAUUUUGAGAUCAGUGAAGGUGAAGUGCACUUUAAUUAUUUUAACUGUCAAGUACAAGUUAACACCUGCAUGUGUGACCUAAACUCAGAAUAUGUGAUAAUCAAGGCUGCUUAUAAACAAAACACAGAAAACAAACUUCUUGGAAUUAACAUCUAGGUCUGUUUACUAAUCUGGUAGUCUCAAAUUCUAAUAUUUAGUUUCUAUUAAUCUUGCUUUGUGUUUGUUAUUUCUAAUCCUUAAUGCUACAAUUUUCCUUUUUUCACUGCCAGGUAAUUUUUUGUUUUAACCUAAAGGAGUAUGCAUUGCACCACAAAACUUCUGUGCCAAGUUUUCAAGGGUCUUGUUUCCUAUUGAUUUAUGGAAAUGGCAAGCCAAGUACUGAUUUUUAAGAGGUAGCUUAAGAAAGAGGCAAGAAAGCAUUACCACUUGAUGUUGUACUGCUACCACAGUGGCUGGGAAGAGUAUGCGAGCACAGUAUAGUUUAGAGCGCUUGAACUCCAAUAUACUGACUUCAGUUACCUUCUUGGGCAGCUGGGCAACAAAGUUAUCUUAGUUUCUUGUUACUGCUAUCAUCAGGGAGGCAUUCAUUUAGAUGAUGUACAGUUCAGAUAUAAGCAACAAAACAUGAUUUCUUCUCUAUUUUUUAAUUAGGUCUUCUUCAGCUAUUUUGCAACAAACACUUGAGCAGAUUUGAUUGUAUGUUUUUGAUAGACUGAGUAAAGAGAUAGUUGUACAACCUCUUCUUCAGAGUUCUCUAAUUACAAAACUAAGCUUUUCUCUAUUCUCACAUUCUGCAUGAUACUUCCAUUAGAAUCUCAUCCAUAAGCUGCUCAGGCAUGAAAAGGCACAUUUAUUUUCUGCCAAAUGCAGUAUUUGUAUACACUCAAGCAUGAGAAGUAUUUCAUUUUGCAAGGCAAUGCAGUGCAAAUUUUUCUUUUUGAACCUGGAAAUAGCAAGCAGGGUUGCUCCUUCUUUGAAGAAAAAUGCCAUUAUUUUUGCAGAGCAUCAGACAGCACAGAUUGCCAUAAUGUCAUUUCAGAAGGAAGCAUAUUAAUUCCAGUCUUGUGGGAAUGCGAUGUAGCGCUACGUGACGCAUCAUCUUGGUUCUUAUGUUUAAGAAAAAGAAUCAAAAGCAUAUUUAUAAGGUAAAUUAAAUAAGCAUUUGCCUAACUGUGAAGUCUUGUUCAGAAAUAUGCUGCUACAUUCUAAUUCUGUCUUGCUUGUAAUAAGAGAUGCCUGUGGAAUUCUGACAAGUUUUGACCUGCCUGUAUGAUGGAUGAAAACUUUUUUAACUAACAUCUGACAUCAUUGGAUGAAAUGUCUGAUGUCCUUUCAUUACAAAAAAGCUUGACCUAGUGCUUUUCAGCUCUCCAAGCUCUGUUGAAACUCAAACAUUAAAAACUUGGUGUAUACAAGCUUUUGCCAAUGUUUGCGUGUUUAUUAGUCUGUCUUAAUAACAGAGGAAGGACUUCAGUGUUUCCUAAUCAAACAUGUUUUUCUGACUACUUUGUACAAGAAAACUCAAUAUACAAAAAAGUCUCAUUGGUUUAUGUUCUCCACUGGUUUAUUUCUUUUACCUUUGACUUUGAGAACAGUUUUCCUCACGUGCUAUUAUAAUUAUGUGAUUAGAAUAGUAGGGUUUUAAUGUCACUGAGGGGAUUGGGAGCUGAGGACUAUGGGAAGGAGUGAGGAAGUGUGUUAUUCCUAAUUCAGUGCAGUGCCAUAUAGUGUGAAAGCUGUAUCGGAAUAAAUUAAAUUAAUCAAAAAACUGUUCGGUGUGCCUGCAAAGGUAUUUGGGCAGUUGUAAGCUAUUAUGUUUAAACUAUUGUACAAAAUCAAUAGGAAGUCCUUCUGACUCUCUGAAAUUGUUGACCCAGUUGUUUCCUUUUAUUUUCAAUAUAGACUUUCUUCUCUUGGCUCUUUUUGUACUCUUAUGGGGACAAAACUGCUACUAAACAUUUGUAUGUAAUACCAGUAAUAAACUUAAGGCUGCAAAAGA